Non-coding RNA from Triticum urartu, 118 nucleotides. The record is from Rfam. NCBI's taxonomy places the organism in Eukaryota, Viridiplantae, Streptophyta, Magnoliopsida, Poales, Poaceae.
UAGUUACUCCCUCCGUCCGGAAUUACUUGUCGGAGGAAUGGAUGUAUCUAGAUGUAUUUUAGUUCUAGAUACAUCUACUUUUAUUCUUUUUUAAGACAAGUAACGGAGGAAGUAUAUA